This 299-nucleotide unclassified non-coding RNA is filed under the name plant metagenome. Its description in RNAcentral is "partial contains 5.8S ribosomal RNA, internal transcribed spacer 2, and large subunit ribosomal RNA". The stretch from base 1 to 105 matches the Rfam family "5.8S ribosomal RNA", at positions 50 to 154 of the family's 154-position model. The record is from RNAcentral.
GAAAUGCGAUAAGUAAUGUGAAUUGCAGAAUUCAGUGAAUCAUCGAAGCUUUGAACGCACAUUGCGCCCCCUGGUAUUCCGGGGGGCAUGCCUGUUCGAGCGUCAUUUCACCACUCAAGCCUCGCUUGGUAUUGGGCGACGCGGUCCGCCGCGCGCCUCAAAUCGACCGGCUGGGUCUUCCGUCCCCUCAGCGUUGUGGAAACUAUUCGCUAAAGGGUGCCGCGGGAGGUCACGCCGCAAAACAACCCCAUUUCUAAGGUUGACCUCGGAUCAGGUAGGGAUACCCGCUGAACUUAAGC